RNAcentral lists this ribosomal RNA (630 nucleotides) under Shigella sonnei. Its description in RNAcentral is "partial 23S ribosomal RNA". It matches the Rfam family "Bacterial large subunit ribosomal RNA", at positions 474 to 1104 of the family's 2925-position model. The record is from RNAcentral. Lineage: Bacteria; Pseudomonadati; Pseudomonadota; Gammaproteobacteria; Enterobacterales; Enterobacteriaceae.
UCCUGACUGACCGAUAGUGAACCAGUACCGUGAGGGAAAGGCGAAAAGAACCCCGGCGAGGGGAGUGAAAAAGAACCUGAAACCGUGUACGUACAAGCAGUGGGAGCACGCUUAGGCGUGUGACUGCGUACCUUUUGUAUAAUGGGUCAGCGACUUAUAUUCUGUAGCAAGGUUAACCGAAUAGGGGAGCCGAAGGGAAACCGAGUCUUAACUGGGCGUUAAGUUGCAGGGUAUAGACCCGAAACCCGGUGAUCUAGCCAUGGGCAGGUUGAAGGUUGGGUAACACUAACUGGAGGACCGAACCGACUAAUGUUGAAAAAUUAGCGGAUGACUUGUGGCUGGGGGUGAAAGGCCAAUCAAACCGGGAGAUAGCUGGUUCUCCCCGAAAGCUAUUUAGGUAGCGCCUCGUGAAUUCAUCUCCGGGGGUAGAGCACUGUUUCGGCAAGGGGGUCAUCCCGACUUACCAACCCGAUGCAAACUGCGAAUACCGGAGAAUGUUAUCACGGGAGACACACGGCGGGUGCUAACGUCCGUCGUGAAGAGGGAAACAACCCAGACCGCCAGCUAAGGUCCCAAAGUCAUGGUUAAGUGGGAAACGAUGUGGGAAGGCCCAGACAGCCAGGAUGUUGG